RNAcentral lists this unclassified non-coding RNA (273 nucleotides) under Hevea brasiliensis (rubber tree). The record is from RNAcentral. Lineage: Eukaryota; Viridiplantae; Streptophyta; Magnoliopsida; Malpighiales; Euphorbiaceae.
GCCAGCAAUAAUUCUUAUUGUGGUAAAAUUAGGCAAUCAACUACGAUAGCCCCUACUACUAAUGAACACCAAUGAGGAUGUCAAGUUUGCUUUGACUUCGUCAUGAACUUCUAAAAUUUUUUGAUAGUGGUCCUGGAACUUUCAAGGUUUAUUCUAGAAGAAGCAAGGGGAUGGAGGGAGCUAGCAGUGCAUUACUAGAAAAAGAAGAAUGGCAUGUGGCUGUUAGAGCUAGCAAAGGAGAGAUUGACAUGUGGAUAGAAUUUGUUACACGGG